GAUAGUAUAUCAGGCUAUCAAUAACAUUAUAUCACUGAUCAAUAGGCUCUGCAUUAAACCAAAACUCUUUCUGAAGUGAGAAUCUCUUCUUUAUCUGCCAAAAUUCAUGAGGAAGAAACACCAGGGAGAAGAAUCCAUGGGUUAUUAGAAGCUGUGACAUAGUGACUGUGUAUUACUUGACUGGGUGUAUCACUGAAGAGAACCUGCAAGUUUCAGCAUCUUCAUCAUUAUCAUUGCCAGCAUCAUCAACAUAAUCACUAUCACUUACACUCACACACUUCUUAUCCGCUAUGACUGUAGAGUAAUAUAGCCUUCACAUUGUUUCCACAUACUAUGCUCAUUUGCUUCUCACAAAACUCUGUGUGGUUGUUAAGGCAGCUAUUUCUAUAAUUUCACUGGAAGUUUACCUUGUGUCCCGAAAGAAAAAAUAAAUACAUUGUAAAAGUUAAAAGCACAAAACACUACAAUUUGGAUCAAGUUGCGUGUAAAAACAAAAUCUGGAUACCUAUAGCACAGCUACUAAUCAUACGGUUACCUUCAUUAUUGAUUUCCAGAAGAACAUCCUUCUUUUAAGAAAAUAUAUCAUUGCACUGAAGACUGGUGAUUUUAACCAUUCUCGUUGUACCUUUACUUUAAUGCCCCUUUAACAUUUUUAUGCAAAAACAACACUAAUACUUUCCAGGCAUUUCAUUAGAAACACUGGAUUCAUAUAAGGUAAAAUACAAAGUGAGAAGUAGCAAUAAGAUUAUAAUGAGCAUCAUAUAAUCACUCAUCAUUCAUGGCAAAAGAAAUCAAACCAAAAUAGCACAAAACACCAGCCAAGUAGGAAUGAGGAAAUGCUGCCCCCUACAAUCAUUAUUAUGAAUGUGGGUUCUUUAAUUUCACUUGAGCUCAUAAAAGCAUAGUCUAAUAUAAUGUAUCCCUGUCUCUUCAAUUGACCAUCAUUUACCUUCCCGUCCAGAAAACACAUUUAUGAAUUAGGUUCAAAACCAUUUUUGGUUGUGUGCAUUUCAUACUCCAAGAUUCCUGCUGAAUGGUGUUAUAGAAAGUACAGUUAUUAGUGCUGAAAUUCACCUCAAUUCUAUUUCUGAAAAAAGGUCUCUUAAGC
RNAcentral lists this long non-coding RNA (1108 nucleotides) under Homo sapiens (human). Its description in RNAcentral is "HSALNT0299663". Lineage: Eukaryota; Metazoa; Chordata; Mammalia; Primates; Hominidae. The record is from RNAcentral.